UUACUCCAAAACGCGUCUCUACUCUCUACUACUUAAACUGAAUAAGAACAACUCUGUUUACCAACAAAGGAGCAGAAUGAACUCGAAGGCUUCGACUUCAACGGCUUGCUUUAUCCCCAAAGAAAAAGCCUUUAAUGGCUCUCCUUUUGGUCGCAAUCAAAGUCGGUGGAUUCCACCCCCAAAAUAUCGAAGUCGGUGGCAAGGCAUGGCUCCUCCGAUGCUUGCGUCUCUCGUGAAUGGGUACUCGAGGUGGUGAAUCAAAGCGCCUCUUCCGGUGGUUAUAGAUUUCCGAUGAACGAUUCUAGAGGUCCAUUUCCUAUCUCUGAUCUCCUGCUUUCAUCCCUUUACUACUUCGGCUUCUUCCCUAGAUUUAUCAUUCUUGUGGAUUUCGAGAGAUUCGUUUGUGACGAAGCGUUCAGAGUCCGACAAUCAUCACAAUUUAUUCCUUUCAUGUGUUGAUUUGUUUUCUUGAGGAACGAAAGAUCUAGGGAGUUUUAUUACCACAUUUAUUCGUGGCUGGUUUCUCAUAUGAGAUCUGGUGUUUGAAAACUCUGUAUAUCUGUUAUUGUGUCCAAGAUUUUCUCAAUGCCUUCCCUUUUGUUUGAUGUAUGCUUGGUGCAUUUUAGUUCCCUUUCGUGUGGGUUACAAUUCUAAAGACUAAUUUUGGGAUCUUAAAGAUAACAUGUGAUGGGUUAAAUACUUGUGGAGUAUCUUAAUCUUUGUUCAAUACUUUGAAAUGCCACUAUCUUUCAGAAAUAAGAUAUUUUUUCCAGAAAUAAUCAUGGUAUCUCAUAUACAUUGGUGAAUCUCGUUUGAAAUCACGAAAAUUGAAUUCUGAAAGCUAAUGUUUACUAAAGACAAGUUUCAAAAUAUCUUAUAUACAUUGUCGGUUUGGUCUAUGUGUUUCCUUUAUGUCAUUAAGAAUGCAUAACUUGUAACUACGCAAGUAAAAGAUAUCAAACAUGUCCCUGAAUGAUCUUAUAAAGCUGGAUCUACCUAUUUAAAGCUUCUGAGGAGUAAUGAACCUCAUUGAGGUCCUUAGAAAGGUAUUAGAGUUAUCUUUCUAUCUAUUGAAACCAAUUGGAAUCAUUUAUGUAAGCUGGUUCUCACGGGUCCUCGAUAGGAGAUCAUGUCCAUCUUGGUUUGCCUUCUGCCCAUUCUUGACAUUUUGGUUGUUGCAAUAUAUGGUCCUAAAAUGGAACCUCGCUUUGGGUUGCCUUUUUGCCUUCUAAUUAUACUGAGGUGGGAAUCAGACUACCCUUCUUUCUAUUUUAAACUUGAUUACAAUUGUGUUGAGUGAGGUGUUCAUAUCGGGUCCUAAAAAGGAAACCAUGGUGAUCUGAGUUUGCCUUCUGCCCAUUCAGGACAUUAGUUUGUUGCAAUAGUUGUAGGUCCUAAAAAGGAACCUCGGUUGCCUUUUUGCCUUCUUUAAAUAUAUACAGAGGAAAAGGUGCUUAAAAGAGGAAUUCAAGUUAUUUUUCUUCCUGUUUUAAACACUAAAUAAGUUGUUUCCAGUGAGUUGUCCAUAUUGGGUCCUAGAAAGAGAACCAUUCUCAAUAUUGGUUUGCCUUCUGCCCAUUCGAGAAAUUAGUUUGGUGGGGUUGAUUAAGUUUAUAAUCGAAGGGUACUUGUGUUUGAUUAUGGAGGCAACUUAUCACGUGGGUUCGGGAAUUCUGUUGGAAAAAUCUUUUGAUUCCUAUGAGCAAUAUGAUGAUCUUGUGGGUUUUUUCAGUUCAGGCAAUGUUAUUCAUGUCCCUUAAUAUCAUAAAAUGCUUCGUUACGUGUAGUUGUGACUUUGUUUCCCGAUUUUAAGGAUCAAUUUGCAAAUCACAUAGAUCUGUCACACAGAUAUGAAGGGAUGGUUUUUAUAUUAAUAUCUGAUUGGUAUUUUGAAAUUUGACGUUCUCCAAGUUGGGGGUUUCAAAGCAACUCUUCUAAAGGGUUGGAAAUUUUGUAAUUUUCGGUUCAAUGGUAAAUAUUCAAUUUGGAAUACUUAGAAGAUUUGAGUUGAAACUACUGACCUUUCUUAUUGAAGUAUCAACAAAAUGGAAUUCAUUACAAAGAUAUUAUGUGUGGUCAACUAGGGUUGUGGGUUUGAUUUAUGUUGAUAUUUUGUUGGAUUCUUAUGUUGUCUUGUCGCUAUAAAAACAUAAAUGGUUAACGAGGUUGCAUACUAUCUUACUGUUGGUUGCAUACUAUCUUACUGUUGGUUGCAUUUUUCAUCUUGAAGAUCCCAUCAGUUGCCUUAAUAAUGUAAGAAAAAGUUUGGAAAUGGGUCCUAGAACGGGAAACUGUUGCCCUUCUGCCUAUUUCAAACUUGACGGUACUAAUCCAGCGGUAUGCGCUAAAAUUGGAUCAUAGAAUGCGAAGUUGUUAAGGCUUUCUGCCCAAUCUGAACAUUUUCUUAAUUUGCGUACACUGCAGUGUAGCAUUUCAUAUAUUGUCGAGAGACACAGAAAAGGGGGUGAUGGGCUGGAGAUGACUGUUGGAACCCUUGUUUGGCUUCACACCUGGGGUAUGUUUCGCGUAUGACAAUAAUUAAGUGUGUAAGGUCAGGGGCCUGUUGCUUCCAGAAUUGGCUGGUUUUUUUUGUUUUGCUUGUGAACUGGGCGGCAUUGCAUUGUUUUGGGGCUCUGUAGGUUUUUUAUUUGGGCUGCUGGAUUUCGAGUUUGCAGGGGUGGUUCAUGCUUCUUGUAUUUUUUUGGGUGUGAGUUCAUGCUUCUUGUAUAUAUGUACAGCUUUUCUUUGUUGGGCUUGUUUUAUGGUUCCAGUAUAUAUGUAUACACCACUUAAACAAAUAAUAAAACCAUACACUUAAACACAUGGUUUAUCAUGAAUUGGACAUAGAUUAAUAUCAAUUGUUUUGCCUAUUGAUUCGCUUGUUUGUGAGUUGUUAGUCUCGACAUCGAUCUCUCGUGAGGUCUAAGAAGUAAGAAGUUCAUUCCCUACUUUUGUCCAUAGAAAAGCUGGACCAAACUUGCAUUUCUGCUGCCCAUCAGUAUGGUACCAACCAUGUGAAUAAAUAAGGUUUCAUUGGGGGCAACUAUGAGGCAAAUGUGAAUUGGAAGGGCUAUUUUAAUCUGAUGUGGUGUUGUUAAGUACGGUAUAUAUGUGUUAUAUAUGAAUCAAUGGCGCCGUACUGGGUUUACUCAAAGCAAUCAGACCCAAUUUUUGACCCUACAUAUUGUCAGCAUUCAGCUCUUUUUGUUUAUAACUAAAAGUGAAGUCGAGCCCUGUUUCUAAAGCUAACAAUGAAAAAGAUCCCUAGAGUCCGGAUCGAGAUCUUA
This 3287-nucleotide long non-coding RNA is filed under the name Linum usitatissimum (flax). Its description in RNAcentral is "long non-coding RNA (LUSI_LNC007630)". The record is from RNAcentral. Lineage: Eukaryota; Viridiplantae; Streptophyta; Magnoliopsida; Malpighiales; Linaceae.